GUGGGGAAUCUUGCGCAAUGGGCGAAAGCCUGACGCAGCCAUGCCGCGUGAAUGAUGAAGGUCUUAGGAUUGUAAAAUCCUUUCACCGGUGAAGAUAAUGACUGUAGCCGGAGAAGAAGCCCCGGCUAACUUCGUGCCAGCAACCGCGGUAAUACGAAGGGGGCUAGCGUUGCUCGGAUUUACUGGGCGUAAAGGGCGCGUAGGCGGACAUUUAAGUCAGGGGUGAAAUCCCGGGGCUCAACCUCGGAACUGCCUUUGAUACUGGGUGUCUUGAGUAUGAGAGAGGUGUGUGGAACUCCGAGUGUAGAGGUGAAAUUCGUAGAUAUUCGGAAGAACACCAGUGGCGAAGGCGACACACUGGCUCAUUACAGACGCUGAGGCGCGAAAGCGUGGGGAGCAAACAGGAUUAGAAACCCGUGUAGUCC
Molecule: ribosomal RNA, 425 nt
Filed under: uncultured bacterium
Lineage: Bacteria
Description: partial 16S ribosomal RNA
Rfam family: Bacterial small subunit ribosomal RNA
Source: RNAcentral